AGUGAACGCUGGCGGCGUGCCUAAUACAUGCAAGUCGAACGAAGUGGCGCACGGGUGAGUAAUAUAUAUUUAAUCUGCCCUACACAGAGGAACAACAGUUGGAAACGACGGCUAAUACCUCAUAGUGUAGGUUGAGACUAUAUCGUAUCAGCAAGUUGGUAAGGUAAUGGCUUACAAAGGCUAUGACGCGGAACUGGGCUGAGAAGAUGAUCAGUCAGCUUGGAGCGGAGACACGGUCAAAACUGCGACGGGAGGGAGCAGGAAGCAAUAUUGCGCAAUGGGGGAGACCCGGACGAAGCAACGGCGCGUGGAGGAGAACACUUUUAGGAGCGUAAACUCCUUUUAGCAUGAAAGCGGUGCCUGAUUAGUAGGCGCCGGCUAACUCCGUGCCAGCCGCCGCGGUAAUUC
Molecule: ribosomal RNA, 408 nt
Filed under: uncultured bacterium
Lineage: Bacteria
Description: partial 16S ribosomal RNA
Rfam family: Bacterial small subunit ribosomal RNA
Source: RNAcentral